Molecule: long non-coding RNA, 2622 nt
Organism: Xenopus laevis (African clawed frog)
Lineage: Eukaryota; Metazoa; Chordata; Amphibia; Anura; Pipidae
Exons: 2
Source: RefSeq, a predicted model, not a curated record
AUUUUUCUUUAUUACACAAACAAAUAUCCACCUGGUGGAUAUUUGUUUGUGUAAUAAAGAAAAAUCCUCAAGACUAUUAGAACACCUAUCAAACACCGGCCUAAAGCAAUGUAUCCAUUUCAGAUAUUGCAGAUAGAUUCCAUACAGUUAACUAAAUGUUGUACCUAUGAAUACGUAUUUGUUUGUGUUGACUAAUUCUCUGGUUGGCCAGAAGCCUGGCCCAUUGUAAAAGCUUCAGACAAAGCUAUAGCUAAAGAGCUAAUUGCAGAGAUUGUCUGCAGUUAUACACUGCUUGAGGUAUUAUCCUCUGAUCAAAGUACACAUUUCACUGGACAGGUAAUGCAAUUAAUCUGCAAAGACAUUGGGAUUCAUCAAAUGUUACACACCAUAUCAUCCCCAAGCUAGUGGGAAAGUGGAAAGUCAGCAGGCUAAUUAAAGUAUGUGCAGAGACUAAACUUGCGUGGCCAGAUGCCCUUGAUAUAGUGCUUAUAUCUGUCACGCACACUCCCCAAAGGCUAACUAAACUCUCCCCAUAUGAAAUAUUGUUUGGGAGACAAGCACGCAUGGCUCAGUACUUUCCUUCUACUCAUCUUCUUUGCAUGAACUAUGGAAGAAUGAUUGAAUAUGUCACUAAGUUACCUAAGGAACUGACCAAAUUGUGCUCUUGAGUUUUAUUCUUCAUUACCAGAUCCAGCGGAUGUUCUGGAACCACAUGUUCUCAUUCCAGAAGAUUGGGUCCUCAUAAAGAGACGCAGUGCCAAAGAUAUUCAACCUCGCUGCAAAAGACCAUUCCAGGUACUCCUCGUCACAGAAACAGCUGUAAAGGUUGAAGGGAAACCGAAUCGGAUCCACGCGUCUCACAGUAAGAAUCCUUAAACUUCCACCUGUUGUGUAAGUGGGGGGAAUUGUAGGACAUAAUAACGCCUCUUUCCUUCCACCACCUAAGUCCCAGGGACCAUAACAUCCAACGCUAAAGAUGUAGGUCCCCAUCGGGUGAAGAUCUCCAGCAGAAUCAUGUCUUUGUGGGCCAGAUGUUUGGUCCGAAUCUGUGUCUCCCUGCUGUACAUACGUAUCUUCAUUGCUGUGCUGAUUAUAGCACUUAUAAAGCCUGAUGUUAAUGACAGGUCCCAAGUCAACACAACAACAGCCUCACUAGCAUCUGAGGUUAAUGUUUCAUCACCAGAUCAGGUUAAAUUUGUUCAUAGAGACUUAUAUGCAUAACUGUUUGAGCCUAAUGAUAAUGCUCUUGUUAAAAUGCUUGUUAUAGCAGCAUCAACACUAUUACUGAUUGUUGGAUAUGUACACAUUCUCCUUUGUCAGCUCACAGUAUGACAUACAUAGUAGAAUCUCUAUCCUGUCAGGACAUAGUUAACAGUCCUCGAGGUAAUUCUCCAGUAUAACACUACACUUAUUCCAAUGGUCAUCUCAGGAUUCUGUAAAGCACCAGUAGUGUAUUUUCAUAAAACGGUGUCGCCCAAGGAUAUUGGUAAGUUGGUACACUUAUGUUCCGAUGGCCUUUGUAUCAACAGUUCAGCUAAUCAUCAUUUGUUGCUGUUGUUCUUGCUGUACCUCCUUAUUUUCUCACUCUUUUCUAAAGGCAAAUUCUUCUAGGCCUGUUCUGUUCUAUCCUAAGUACGCUAAAAGUCUGAAAUGACUUCAAUGAACCACCACAGUGUAUGAACAUUAUAUACCAGAUGUAUUCUCAUAUAGGUUGUAUGCAUAGCAUUUAUAAGGAAAAGUCUUGCAGGCCCUGCUUGGCCCCCUUAAUGGAGUGAACAGUUUCUAAGUGCCCAUGAGGCCCUUCUAGAAACUGUUCAAGUUUAUGUGUAACAUCUGUCGAGAAGGUUCUUAUCACUAUUCUGUUUUAUUUUGUAUUCCUGUAACAAUGUGUUCUGAUCUUGAAGCACACACACACAAUGGUACUCCCUAUUUCCUGGUGAUUGGGUGUUAGUCAAAGAAUUUCUACCAAAACACUCCCUGGAACCAACUUUUAAAAUAGAGUAGCACUUGGCAUGAUACUGGCUGAAAAGGGAGGUGUCUGUAAAAUGCUUGCCAACACAAGCACCUGUUGCACAUGUAUCCCCGAUAAUACUGGUCCAAACAGCUAAAUUAUUGAUCUGUUCAUUAAGUUAAAGACAAAUUCUGGAAUCACACCUCCUUGGGAUGAAUAUUUUGGAUGGAUGACAGGUCGGUAAACGGUCUUAGCCCAGAUCAGUGUUACCUUAUUGAUUGUUUUGAUUUUUAUUUCACUUAUUAUUUUCUGCUGUAUAAUUCCCUAUAUCAGGAAAUUAACUUCAUCUUUAAUUACUUCUUCUGAGGGCUUGCAAUUUAAGCUUAUUCAUGCUGCUCGCGUAUAGUCACUUAUGUGACUAAAAGGGGGAUUGAAAGGGAUUGCAAGGGGCUAAUGUCUUUUCCUGCCUGAACACUUGAUUGCACAAGUAUGCUUCUUAUCAAAUACACACAAGUUGUAGACUGUGUAAACAUACUAUAGCCACUCAGGUGUUCAAACAUUACCAAAUAUAGGGUAAUCACAUUGUGUAUGACAUCACAAUGGAAUCUCUUUGUUUACCAUGCUAUAUAAGUUGUAGUACUACCCAUAAUAAAUCGGAACUUGCUUUGUAA